AGAGGGAGGAGAGAACUGCCGGG
Molecule: non-coding RNA, 23 nt
Filed under: Cricetulus griseus (Chinese hamster)
Lineage: Eukaryota; Metazoa; Chordata; Mammalia; Rodentia; Cricetidae
Source: RNAcentral